GGCAAAGAUGAAGAGUGCUUUGUGUUUCCAACACCUCUCAUAUGAGAAGGGCUUUCUUUAAGCUCUUCCGUGAGCACAGAUAGCAACUCACUGAGCC
Citrus sinensis (sweet orange) is the source of this 97-nucleotide non-coding RNA. NCBI's taxonomy places the organism in Eukaryota, Viridiplantae, Streptophyta, Magnoliopsida, Sapindales, Rutaceae. The record is from Rfam.